UACAGAGACCUCGAGCGUUUUCCGGAAUCAUUGGGCGUAAAGCGUCCGUAAGCGGUUUUAUAAGUUGAACUUGAAAUCCGGUGGCUCAACCACCGACCCGGGUUCAAUACUGUAAGACUAGAGGCUUGGAGAGGUUGAUGGAAUUCCCGGUGUAGCAGUGAAAUGCGUUAAUAUCGGGAAGAACACCUAUUGCGAAGGCAGUCAACUAUUCAACGCCUGACACGCAGGGACGAAAGCGUGGGGAGCGAACGGG
Molecule: ribosomal RNA, 253 nt
Filed under: uncultured bacterium
Lineage: Bacteria
Description: partial 16S ribosomal RNA
Rfam family: Bacterial small subunit ribosomal RNA
Source: RNAcentral